AAGAAAAAAAAUCCAAAAUGAUUAGUAAAGAAAAAUAUAAGAAUUAACAGACCCUUUACAUUUGUUUUAAAAAGUGUUUAAAGUUUGUAAUUCCUAGUAGUAAAACAUUAUCUGAAUGAAUACCCUAAUGGCAAACCUAAUGGCAAACUGUAAAAUGCUUCAGCUGUAUUUGGGGGAGAGGGGUAGGGAUUAUCUUAAAGCACCCCAGCUCUCUUGAUGAGAAGGUACAUUGGUUUGUAUUAUUGUGACAUCCAUAAGGUGAUCUAGGUUGCUUUUCCUUCAGCAAGGGCUUUAUUUAUCAGAAGGGCAUUACACUUGACCUCCAAAUUUGGCUGACAAUUUACUGAUGAGAUUCAUAACCUUUGGGUUGCUCUGGUAUUUUGACACAUUUGCUGGGUUCUGAGCCACAUCCUGGAAGGCCACCAUAACUUCUGGAUCCUGCAUGGCUGCAAGAACCUCUGGAUCACUAAGAAUUUCAUUGAAUCCAGGCAUUCCAGCCAUUCCAGACAUGCCCCCUCCCAUUCCAGGCAUUCCUCUGGGAAAAUUACCAGGCAUUCCCCCAGGAAAGCCACCUGGAAAAGAGCCAUACUGAGCUCCUGACUGUCGUCUGGCUUCUUCCUCCCUCUGGGCUCUCUCAUGCUCUUUUCGAGCCUUCUUAACUCGUUCUACUCUUUCUUUGAUCUCUCGCUCUUCAUGUUUUCGCUCAUACUUUCUCCGAUGUUCUGCAAUUUUCUAAGUCUGUGUGCUUUCCCCCGCCACUUGUGAGGCUGAGCUGAAUCAGGAUUUAUUUCAAUGGCUCUGUCACAGUCUUGGGUGGCAGCAUUUGGCUUCUGUAAUUUGACGAAAACACUGGCCCUCUUGGCAUACAAAAUGGCCAAGCGAGGAUUCAGCUUGAUGGCGUCUGUCAAUAACUCAAUGGCUUUCUGGAGUUCACCAUCAUUUAGGGCUUCAAUAGCAGCCACUUUUUUAUCAUUUGCCUGAUCCAUCAUCUCCUCCGUUAUCUCCGCAUUUUCAUCUCCCAUUUCUUGAGGAGCAUCAGUGUCUGGUUCAAUCACACCUUCUUUAUCAAUUUCUAGAUCACUUUCCUCACUUGAUGGUUCGUCUGCCUUUAAGUCUUCCUCCACCUUCUUACUAUCAGGUUUUUCUUCCUCGGUAUUUUCUUCUGAUUUAGCUUUCUGAGUAGCAGGUGGUACUUUACCUCCCAUGCUCUCCACCCACUCCCUCAGGAAGCGCAUUUCCUCGGUGUGCAGAAUGCUCGGAUCCUGCUUACACAUUUUCACAAAGGCCCGAAGCUCGUUCACUUUGCAGGGGUCCAUGGUAGGGAGGCGGUGG
This 1332-nucleotide long non-coding RNA is filed under the name Homo sapiens (human). RNAcentral's name for it is "non-protein coding lnc-ST3GAL1-1:1". The record is from RNAcentral. Lineage: Eukaryota; Metazoa; Chordata; Mammalia; Primates; Hominidae.